GACGAAGGGGGCUAGCGUUGUUCGGAAUUACUGGGCGUAAAGCGCGUGUAGGCGGUUGCCCAAGUCGGGUGUGAAAGCCUUGAGCUCAACUCAAGAAAUGCACUCGGUACUGGGUGACUAGAGGACCGGAGAGGAUAGUGGAAUUCCCAGUGUAGUGGUGAAAUACGUAGAGAUUGGGAAGAACACCAGUGGCGAAGGCGGCUAUCUGGACAGUUCCUGACGCUGAGGCACGAAGGUCAGGGGAGCAAACGGG
Molecule: ribosomal RNA, 253 nt
Filed under: uncultured bacterium
Lineage: Bacteria
Description: partial 16S ribosomal RNA
Rfam family: Bacterial small subunit ribosomal RNA
Source: RNAcentral